GACGAACGCUGGCGGCGCGCCUAACACAUGCAAGUCGAACGAGAGAUGAAGAGCUUGCUCUUCAAAUCGAGUGGCGAACGGGUGAGUAACGCGUGAGGAACCUGCCUCAAAGAGGGGGACAACAGUUGGAAACGACUGCUAAUACCGCAUAAGCCCACGGCUCGGCAUCGAGCAGAGGGAAAAGGAGCAAUCCGCUUUGAGAUGGCCUCGCGUCCGAUUAGCUAGUUGGUGAGGUAACGGCCCACCAAGGCGACGAUCGGUAGCCGGACUGAGAGGUUGAACGGCCACAUUGGGACUGAGACACGGCCCAGACUCCUACGGGAGGCAGCAGUGGGGAAUAUUGCACAAUGGGGGAAACCCUGAUGCAGCGACGCCGCGUGGAGGAAGAAGGUCUUCGGAUUGUAAACUCCUGUUGUUGAGGAAGAUAAUGACGGUACUCAACAAGGAAGUGACGGCUAACUACGUGCCAGCAGCCGCGGUAAAACGUAGGUCACAAGCGUUGUCCGGAAUUACUGGGUGUAAAGGGAGCGCAGGCGGGAGAACAAGUUGGAAGUGAAAUCCAUGGGCUCAACCCAUGAACUGCUUUCAAAACUGUUUUUCUUGAGUAGUGCAGAGGUAGGCGGAAUUCCCGGUGUAGCGGUGGAAUGCGUAGAUAUCGGGAGGAACACCAGUGGCGAAGGCGGCCUACUGGGCACCAACUGACGCUGAGGCUCGAAAGUGUGGGUAGCAAACAGGAUUAGAUACCCUGGUAGUCCACACCGUAAACGA
Molecule: ribosomal RNA, 768 nt
Filed under: uncultured bacterium
Lineage: Bacteria
Description: bacterial SSU rRNA
Rfam family: Bacterial small subunit ribosomal RNA
Source: RNAcentral